CACGGCGCACGGGUGCGUAACACGUGGGCAAUCUGCCCUCCGAUGGGGAAUAACCCCGCGAAAGCGGGGCUAAUACCGCAUAACAUUCCUUGAGCGACGGUUCGAGGAUUCAAAGCAGUAAUGCGUCGGAGGAGGAGCCCGCGCCCGAUUAGCUAGUUGGUGAGGUAACGGCUCACCAAGGCUAUGAUCGGUAGCUGGUCUGAGAGGAUGAUCAGCCACACUGGAACUGAGACACGGUCCAGACUCCUACGGGAGGCAGCAGUGGGGUAUCUUGCACAAUGGGUGAAAGCCUGAUGCAGCGACGCUGCGUGGGGGAUGAAACUUUUUGGAGUGUAAACCCCUUUCGCCUGGGACGAAUGCCCGCAAGGGAGUGACGGUACCAGGAUAAGAAGCCCCGGCUAACUACGUGCCAGCAGCCGCGGUAAGACGUAGGGGGCCAGCGUUGUUCGGAAUUACUGGGUGUAAAGGGUUCGUAGGCGGUGUGGCAAGUUGGGAGUGAAAUCUCUGGGCUCAACCCAGAGGCUGCUUCCAA
This 532-nucleotide ribosomal RNA is filed under the name uncultured bacterium. Its description in RNAcentral is "bacterial SSU rRNA". It matches the Rfam family "Bacterial small subunit ribosomal RNA", at positions 94 to 630 of the family's 1533-position model. The record is from RNAcentral.